CCUAACACUAGAGGCAUUGCAGAUGUUGCUGCUCUGUCACAUGUGUGUCAGUAGGUGGUUGAGAAGACAAAGGCUUUGGCUGCUCAGUGUUCUGACCUAUGGACAUUUGAACGAUUAAGAGCCUAGCAUU
RNAcentral lists this small nucleolar RNA (130 nucleotides) under Mus pahari (shrew mouse). RNAcentral's name for it is "predicted gene, 24127 (MGP_PahariEiJ_G0034855.1)". It matches the Rfam family "Small nucleolar RNA SNORA17". From Rfam's summary of the family: snoRNA ACA 17 belongs to the H/ACA family of snoRNAs and is predicted to guide pseudouridylation of the 28S rRNA at positions U4659 and U4598. Lineage: Eukaryota; Metazoa; Chordata; Mammalia; Rodentia; Muridae. The record is from RNAcentral.